AGCUAUUAAGAGAGCCUGAUAAACCCAAAGAGAGGCAGGAGGCUUGAAAUCUGGAUGCGUAUAGAUGGAAAAUCUUAAAGUUGAAUGAAUGGAAACAGCAAUGCUAUAUGCGAAUGCAUCACCAACGAAAUGCAUACCCAUUGUAAUCAUUGCCAAUAAAAGUUCUACAGGUGCUUCGUCAACUUUGAGUGUUCCUCGAUGCAGGAAAGGCCACCGGGGGUGAAAAUCCUUCCAAUAAUGAGCAAUCCAUAAGUUCACCCUACUGCGAGUUAUAUAUUGCAACGCCUCUUCAGAAAGUUGAUAAUUAUUAUUCAUUACUUGUAUUAAAGAUGAAUAUGCGGAAAGUGAUAGUAGGUCUUUAGCAACUAGUUUGUCGUCAACUCUAAAAUGCGAACUAAGAAAAUCAAUGGUCGGUGAAUCUAAAACUGGCAUUAAAUUCAAUUGCUUUGCAUUGAUACCAUCGGUGAAAUUUGAAACUGAUUCUGUUGGGGCAUCUUUCUCCAUGUUAUCAAAAAGCCAGCACACGAAGUUAUCUGUAUUUUGCUGGUAAGCAUUAAACGGUGAUGUUCCAAAAAUAGAUAUGGAAUCUUGAGGAGACAAUGACUUAUUAGCAUUGUUUUUUAUUGAAGGGGUUGAUAAAAACUUGUUUUGCAAGUUAAUUUGCUGGUCGCUUUCAGGAAUGGUAAUCGAGCCUGAAAUGGAGUUAUUUCGACGACUAGUGGUAAACAUGUAAUUGUUUCCCGUCUGUGCAAUGGCAGAUUGUAGACCUUCAUUGAAAUUAUCGGAAAUUAUGGGCUGGUCAGGUAAUAUGGGUUGAUCGAUAUGGCUUUUGAGGUCUGUAUAAGCAGCAUCCUGAACGUCGGCUUCGACAUAUGAGGGAAAAGGUAAUUCUUGAUCGGAAGAUGAAAUAAGUGUCUUAUCAUGUUUAGGAUGCGUUUGGCUGCCAGCAUCGUUCUGCUUUACAUGCUUUUGGUUAACAUGUCGAUUUAGCACAUCGCUCCUUGUAAACGAACUGGAGCAGUGAGGGCAAAUAAAGGCUUUCGAGUUGGUAU
Molecule: non-coding RNA, 1052 nt
Organism: Schizosaccharomyces pombe (fission yeast)
Lineage: Eukaryota; Fungi; Ascomycota; Schizosaccharomycetes; Schizosaccharomycetales; Schizosaccharomycetaceae
Source: the annotation of a GenBank genome assembly